GCCACUGAACAGUAUUCAUGAGUAUCAGGUGGAAACAAAAAUGUUCACGUCUUCAAACUGGAACCUACAUUCAUUUCCAUCAAGUCUGGUAUCAACUUAAGACUGAUCAUUCCACAAAAAAAUAAUUGAAACUAUGAUGUGGAAGCGAUACCUUCAUUGUUAUACUCAACACUCCGUAUUUGAUGGAUUGCAUAUAUGAAAGCAGUACUGAUUAAAGGUUGAUUUUAAGAAGAAUCGUCAACUGACUCGCAUCACACCGGACCAUGCCGUUUUCGAAUGAAAGAGGAAGAUAUUUUCUUUUGGAUUUACUACUCUGUCACAUUAGAAUAACCAGAUAUUGAUAUGCUCUGAGAUUAAUGACCACCAGCCAGAACUUUGGAGUCAUACAUACUAGCAAGAACUAGUGAGAUAACAUCCGUUUGCAUCACUUUACUUACAAAUACUACUGGGGUGAAACAGAAUGUCAUAUAAAUGGGCAGCGAGGUCAACUCAUCUGCAUUUGAUACUACAGCAGUGCACUGAACAAAGAAUACAUCCGAUGGCGUUGAUUUGAGCAACAGCACAACAAUGCUCCCAACUGUGGAAAGAAUGGCCCUUUCAGUUCCAGCUACAAAUUCUACACACAGAGGAUGUCUAGAUUCCCAGGAAAGAACGGUACAGAAGUAAUUUCGGUAUUGACAAAUUUUGACCAAAAUGAUAACGGUGCAACGGACGACAUCUGGAAUCUUCAGCAAGCGAAUAUUAGAAUUCGAUGUCUUUUGAAUGAAAUAUUGGAUGAAAUUCCAACAGAUGCAGUGUGUAAAAUUACAUUAGACCAAACACAAAAUGCAUAUUCUGUACUAAAUAAUUAUCAAUGAUCUGCUUAGUGGAAAUGUGAAUACAUAUGGAGUUAACAUUAUUUGAGUAUAUCAAUACAUCUGUGAAAUGCUUUAUUCUUCUAUUUUUAAUGUGUUGUAUAUUUAUAUAUUUUCGGAGAAUUCUUUCAAUCAAUGCAGUAAUUCUUUUUGAACUUGGAAAAGGUUGAAGCGCAUGGAAUGUAUAUCAUUUAAAAUAUGUGUUUGCAUAUGAAUCAAUAUUUGAUCUUAAAAAUGUUUUCAAAAUUGUUACUCGUAUAUCAAUUUGAAGGAAAUAUAAUGUUCCAAAAGCUAAUAACGUUGAGGUUUGUUUUCUGCAGCUUUAGAAACGAGAAAUGUUUGAAACAAUCCGGACCUAAUGAAACAUUUUUUUAUGGCUAAAUUAAAAUUUUGCAGUGUGCUUUCUUUUUGUUAUCUACCUAAAGCCAAUUUCCAAUAAGACGGAAAGAAUUUUUCUUUCAAGAUGUAUAAAAUUCACUUUAAAUUUUCUUUUGUAACAAUCAUUUAUCAAAACCCCACAGGUAGAAAUGUCACUGACCCGCAAUAGUGACAGGGAUCUCAACGAUUGACACAGAAUUGUAAUUAGUUGAUAUUAAGUCCUAAUAUGUAUGGUACAAUUCUCAAUACAAUAUGGUAAAUAGUGAAUGAAUCAUUACUAUAUUAGAUGAUUUGUUAAAAUUAAUCUUUAUCAUCGAUUGAAUUAUCAUAGUUCUAAAUUUUAAUUGUUCUUAUUGUCAAUCGAUUAGCUACGAUUUCUUCUCAUCAACAUAAUUGUUUGCACUUAGUUUUCAAUUUAUUAACAGUUUUUAUAAAAUAGUUAUGAUUUGUUUUUAUUUAUUACUGAAUGUCAAAACUCGAGAAAGCAAUUUCAUUAAUUUUCCCUGAAUUGAAAUUUCCUAACAUGGUCAAUGCUCAUUAAUUGAAAUACAACUUCUUCAAUCUGAGAACAUUUUGCACAAUUUUUGUAGUUAUAUUAAGUAAAUAUC
This is a long non-coding RNA of Argiope bruennichi, 1840 nucleotides long. RefSeq lists it as uncharacterized. NCBI's taxonomy places the organism in Eukaryota, Metazoa, Arthropoda, Arachnida, Araneae, Araneidae. The record is from RefSeq and is a predicted model, not a curated record. The transcript is spliced from 4 exons.